UCAGAUUGAACGCUGGCGGCAGGCCUAACACAUGCAAGUCGAGCGGUAACAGAAAGUAGCUUGCUACUUUGCUGACGAGCGGCGGACGGGUGAGUAAUGCUUGGGAACAUGCCUUGAGGUGGGGGACAACAGUUGGAAACGACUGCUAAUACCGCAUAAUGUCUACGGACCAAAGGGGGCUUCGGCUCUCGCCUUUAGAUUGGCCCAAGUGGGAUUAGCUAGUUGGUGAGGUAAUGGCUCACCAAGGCGACGAUCCCUAGCUGGUUUGAGAGGAUGAUCAGCCACACUGGGACUGAGACACGGCCCAGACUCCUACGGGAGGCAGCAGUGGGGAAUAUUGCACAAUGGGCGCAAGCCUGAUGCAGCCAUGCCGCGUGUGUGAAGAAGGCCUUCGGGUUGUAAAGCACUUUCAGUCAGGAGGAAAGCGUGGUGGUUAAUACCCAUCAUGUGUGACGUUACUGACAGAAGAAGCACCGGCUAACUCCGUGCCAGCAGCCGCGGUAAUACGGAGGGUGCGAGCGUUAAUCGGAAUUACUGGGCGUAAAGCGUACGCAGGCGGUUUGUUAAGCGAGAUGUGAAAGCCCCGGGCUCAACCUGGGAACUGCAUUUCGAACUGGCAAACUAGAGUGUGAUAGAGGGUGGUAGAAUUUCAGGUGUAGCGGUGAAAUGCGUAGAGAUCUGAAGGAAUACCGAUGGCGAAGGCAGCCACCUGGGUCAACACUGACGCUCAUGUACGAAAGCGUGGGGAGCAAACGGGAUUAGAUACCCCGGUAGUCCACGCCGUAAACGAUGUCUACUAGAAGCUCGGAGCCUCGGUUCUGUUUUUCAAAGCUAACGCAUUAAGUAGACCGCCUGGGGAGUACGGCCGCAA
This 871-nucleotide ribosomal RNA is filed under the name uncultured bacterium. Its description in RNAcentral is "bacterial SSU rRNA". It matches the Rfam family "Bacterial small subunit ribosomal RNA", at positions 24 to 891 of the family's 1533-position model. The record is from RNAcentral.